Molecule: long non-coding RNA, 3657 nt
Organism: Neofelis nebulosa (Clouded leopard)
Lineage: Eukaryota; Metazoa; Chordata; Mammalia; Carnivora; Felidae
Exons: 2
Source: RefSeq, a predicted model, not a curated record
UCCCUACCUUGAGCCAAAACAUCUUGCAACGGACAUCUCGUUAUUCUUGUGUUGCCUCGUGAAACUGGUGGACAUGAACCUUCCCUGAGAUAUUAGUGACAUUACUGCUGAGUGCCUGUUGUGUGCCAGCCUAGAGGACACAGCCGCGUUAGACUAAAUCUCUCCCCUCAAAGAGCUCAUAGUCUAGCCGGAGGAUCCUGGGAAAACGAAUGAAUAUGGAACUUAAUUCUGGAGAGCUCCACAGGGCUCAGACGUGGGCUUGAUCUUGCAGUGCCCAUUCUCUCUUGGUUUUCCUUCUCUCAACUCCUAUGCCUUGGAAGGGCUCCUCUAUCUCAAUCUGCCCUGAAGAUUCCAUUCUUGAAGUUUUGCUUUGUCUGAGAGACGGCAUCCUCACCUGGAGUCACAAUAGCGGGCCAGACCCUCCAGUGGGCUCCUGAGACCGGCCUGUGCGCAUCUCUUCCCAGAUCCACUUUUGGUAACCUCAUGUUGGUAGUUUGAAAUUGGCCAUAGUGGGUGUGUUUACACCACAGGAAUUGGGAAAUGCUACAAAUCAGAGCCUCCUUUCUGUGGAGAGCCUUUUGUUACCAGCACACCACUGCAUAGUUAACUGUCUUUAGGAUAGUGGUAUCCAAAUGUGUCCAUUGUCUAUCCCUGGCUGUGUGUCUCACAGGCACUUCAAACUCAACAGGUCAACGAUGACUUUCCUUCCAUUUUCCCAAAACAUAACCCUCCUCCUGGAUGACCUCUCCCGGUUGAUGGCAUUGCCACUCAUCCAAUUCCUGAAGCCACAGUCAUUCAAAAAGCAUUUUAGAUGCUCUCCUCUUCUUUGCCCCCGUGUCUGAUUAACCAUUAAACACUAUUCAUUCCACAGAUGUGCUCUCACUAAAACCUGUACCCUCUUCUCCAUUCCCACUCCCACGGAUGGAGUCUAGGUCCUCUUCAUUUUUCUCUAAAAUGAUUGCAGGGGCACCUGGAUGGCUCAGUCAGUUGAGUGUCUGACUCUUGAUUUGGGCUCAGGUCAUGAUCCUGGGGUCGUGGGAUCAAGCCCUGUGUUGAGCUCCGUGCUGAGCGCAGAGCCUGCUUAAGACUCUCUCUCCUUCUGCCCCUCUCUCCCACUCACACGUGCUCUCUCUCUAAAAUUAAAUUAAAAAAUAAGAUGAUUGCAGUUCCCUCCAACUGGUCAUACUGUCAUUAGUCUCUUGGCUACAAACCAAAGUGAAUCUUUAAUUUGGUCUGAUGCCCCUUCCACUGGUUGAGAAAUUCCCCACCUUGAAGAAAGCAGAAUUCAUUUCCCAUCAUAGACUUUGAACCUCCCAGUUCCUGGCUCCUCCAAUUUCCUUGCAGCUGGAACCAGGGAGGUUACCUAACCUUCACUAGAGACAUGCACCCUGCCAUCCAUUACGGCCGUGGGCAGCAGCACCGGCAGCACCCAGGGCCCAGUGCAGGUGGCAGAAUGGGUUAUGACACCCAGUGUUGAAUGGUCUCAACAGCCAGCACCUUCCCAAACUGGUUCUGUGGCAUAAUGUUGGCUGGGAUCCCAGCUGCUGCCUGUUUUCUGAGCCCAACUCCCCAUCAUGCCUGGUGUUGCUGUGAACUCUCCAACAUGCUUGCAGUGUCUGCUGUGCUAGAAAAAUCAGUCAGCAAUUUGGUUCUCAACUCUCAAUAUUAUCCCCUCUCAUCCCCACAGCUUUUCCUUAUCCACUCUUUUUUUAAAGUUUAUUUUAAUUUUUUUUUAAUUUUACAUCCAAAUUAACAUACAGUGCAACAGUGAUUUCAGGAGUAGAUUCCUUAAUGCCCCUUCCCAUUGAGCCCAUCCCCCCUCCCACAAUCCCUCCAGUAACCCUCUGUUCUCCAUAUUUAAGAGUCUCUUAUGUUUUGUCCCCCUCCCUGUUUUUAUAUUUUUUUUUUUGCUUCCCUUCCCUUAUGUUCAUCUGUUGUGUGUGUUAAAGUCCUCAUAUGAGUGAAGGCAUAUGGUAUUUGUGUUUCUCUGACUAAUUUCACUUAGCAUAAUACCCUCUAGUUCCAUCCACGUAGUUGCAAAUGGCAAGAUUUCAUUCUUUUUGAUUGUCGAGUAAUACUCCAUUGUAUAUACCACAUCUUCUUUAUCCAUUCAUCCAUUGAUGGACAUUUGGGCUCUUUCCAUACUUUGGCUAUUGUUGAUAGUGCUGCCAUAAACAUGGGGGUGCAUGUGCCCCUUCGAAACAGCACCCCUGCAUCCCUUGGAUAAAUACCUAGUAGUGCAAUUGCUGGGUCUUAGGGUAGUGCUAUUUUUAAUUUUUUGUUCCAGUCCACUCUUUUUUCUUAAAUAACUUCAUUUAUUUAUUUUGACAGAGACAGAGACAGCAUGAGUGGGGGAAGGCAGAGAGAGGGAGAGAGUCCCAAGAAGGCUCUGUGCUGCCAUCACAGAGCCCAAUGUGGGGCUCAAACCCAUGAAGAUGUGAGAUCAUGACCUGAGCCGAAGUCAAGAGUUGGACGCUUAACUGACUGAGCUACCCAGGUGCCCCUCCUUAUUCACUCUUAAAACAUUCCUAAAAAGCUCAUCAUUUCAUUGUAAUGUCAUCUGACAUUUUCUACUCCUUUCCUCAGCCAAAAGAAUAGUCUUCUGAGAGUCCUUUGUCUAUCUUUUCCAUUCCUUGUUCAUGUCCCAUGUUUUGAUCAGGCUCUUUUCAAAUCAGAACCCACUGGAGAGUCAAUUCCCUGGGUAAUGACAUUAUUUUAUUUAGGUGCUCCCUCUUUUCUAUUUGGAUCAGUUUUCGACCUACUGUUAGAACACCUUCCUGGGCUUCUUGUAGGCCUGCUGUCCCGUCCCCUAAACUGGGCCUUCACCGCAUGGUACACAGAGCCUCAUGCAGCCUAUAACUGCAUGGCAGCAUAUCCUGGUUCUGCACAUCUCCUUACAGCCUCACACAAGUCCUUUGGACUGAUCCCAGGGCUGUGUUGUAGCUUCAGUUGGCCUUGCUUGACUUUCUGUGCUCCUUCCAAGAAUAUCUCCCACCCAAUCCAGUCAAGCUCCUAGUCCCUCACCUCAGAACUGGCCCUGAGAGGCAGGUCCCCCUCCAGGCUCCUCUAAAUACAGACUAGGCCCCUGCCACCCUUUCGGGCCCCCAUCAUGGAGCCUUCUUCUUUUCUCUGAACAUUUUGAGAUCUCUAUGGUGAAGUCUGAAACAGCACGAUUGCUUUCACCGAAGUGUCCCCUUUAGUCAGAGUAACCUCAGAGUAGCAAUUUUUCAAACUAAUUGUGUCUACGUUUUGGAUUCUGAGACACGAAACUAUCCAUUACACAAAAGUAGAACCUAUCAUCCUAUACUUACAGGAGAACUAAACUUUUUUGAGAUGCCUUGAUAAUUAAACAUUCUAUUUUUUGCCAAACUCCUCUUCCUGCGACGGAUUGCCUCUAUCUCGCUUAAAGACACUACCAUCUAGUCAAACAGGUCUUCUAGAUUGUCAAGAGUCUUCAGAAGGCAUCUCCAUUCGUCCACAGCUGUUGGAGAACAUGGCAAAGACAGUGGAAGAAGGAAGUUACAUCAGCCAACCAUUUCUCUUUGUAUUCCACUAAUGUUUACAUCUCACUGAACAUCAGAACAUCUUGAAAAUACAAUUGCUUAAAAGGUAUAAAGACACAGAAACAACCUAACACUAAUAAGAAUGGUAUAAUAA